Molecule: ribosomal RNA, 497 nt
Filed under: uncultured bacterium
Lineage: Bacteria
Description: partial 16S ribosomal RNA
Rfam family: Bacterial small subunit ribosomal RNA
Source: RNAcentral
GAUGAACGCUGGCGGCGUGCCUAAUACAUGCAAGUCGAGCGAACGGACGAGAAGCUUGCUUCUCUGAUGUUAGCGGCGGACGGGUGAGUAACACGUGGAUAGCCUACCUAUAAGACUGGGAUAACUUCGGGAAACCGGAGCUAAUACCGGAUAAUAUUUUGAACCGCAUGGUCCAAAAGUGAAAGACGGUCUUGCUGUCACUUAUAGAUGGAUCCGCGCUGCAUUAGCUAGUUGGUAAGGUAACGGCUUACCAAGGCAACGAUGCAUAGCCGACCUGAGAGGGUGAUCGGCCACACUGGAACUGAGACACGGUCCAGACUCCUACGGGAGGCAGCAGUAGGGAAUCUUCCGCAAUGGGCGAAAGCCUGACGGAGCAACGCCGCGUGAGUGAUGAAGGUCUUCGGAUCGUAAAACUCUGUUAUUAGGGAAGAACAUAUGUGUAAGUAACUGUGCACAUCUUGACGGUACCUAAUCAGAAAGCCACGGCUAACUACGUG